GACGAACGCUGGCGGCGUGCUUAACACAUGCAAGUCGAACGGAAAGGCCCUGCUUUUGUGGUGUGCUCGAGUGGCGAACGGGUGAGUAACACGUGAGUAACCUGCCCUUGACUUUGGUAUACCUUCAGGAAACUGGGGCUAAUACCGUAUAGGAGCUCCUGCUGCAAGGUGGUGGUUUGAAAGUUUCGGCGGUUGGGGAUUGACUCGUGGCUUAUCAGCUUGUUGGUGGGGUAGUGGCUUACCAAGGUUUUGACGGGUAGCCGGCCUGAGAUGGUGACCGGCAAAGUUGGGACUGAGAUACGGCCCAGAAUGUGACGGGAGGCAGGAGUGGGGAAUAUGGCACAAUGAGCGGAAGCCUGAUGGAGGAACGCCGCAUGCGGGAUGACGGCCUUCGGGUUGUAAACCGCUUUCGCCUGUGACGAAGCGUGAGUGACGGUAAUGGGUAAAGAAGCACCGGCUAACUACGUG
RNAcentral lists this ribosomal RNA (468 nucleotides) under uncultured bacterium. Its description in RNAcentral is "partial 16S ribosomal RNA". It matches the Rfam family "Bacterial small subunit ribosomal RNA", at positions 28 to 507 of the family's 1533-position model. The record is from RNAcentral.